RNAcentral lists this ribosomal RNA (387 nucleotides) under Triticum aestivum (bread wheat). RNAcentral describes it as "partial small subunit ribosomal RNA". Lineage: Eukaryota; Viridiplantae; Streptophyta; Magnoliopsida; Poales; Poaceae. The record is from RNAcentral.
AUGGCUGAAUCAGUGAUUCUUUUAGCUGUGGCAAAGAUUGGUGCUGCUCUGGGGAAUGAAGCAAUCAACCAGGCUAGUUCACAAUUCAAAAAGUUCAUUACGCAGCUAACAGAGCUUCAAGGCAGCAUGGGUCGCAUAAGAAGAGAACUGAGGCUAAUACAUGAAUUUCUUUGCUGAAUGGAUGUAAGGAAUCGCAAGAAUCCAACAUAUGAAAUCUGGGUGGAGGAGGUGAGAAUGCUUGCAUAUGGGAUUGAGGAUAUUGCGGAUGAGUAUUUGCAUAUUGUCUGUCAGAAACAUCAUGGUGGAUGGAGAAUCUAUCUGAAAGGAUUCAAGCAUCCAAAUGUCUUGCUUUCUUUAAAUAGGAGAGCUUCAUUGGUUAAGGAAGCA